This is a long non-coding RNA of Paramormyrops kingsleyae, 738 nucleotides long. RefSeq lists it as uncharacterized. Lineage: Eukaryota; Metazoa; Chordata; Actinopteri; Osteoglossiformes; Mormyridae. The record is from RefSeq and is a predicted model, not a curated record.
CCUGUUGCUAUUAGCAGAGAGAGACCAAGUUCUUCCAACUAGACUGUCCAAGAACAAAGCAGAACCUAAGAUGGCACAGUUUAAUGUUAAAGUUGAUUCCUCAGCAGAAGGAGUUCUAGACGUGAUCGAUUACUAUGACAGAGAAGGGGCUGCCUCUGCUAAGGGUACCUACACUAAGGCAAUGACAUAUGAAAUCCCUGGAUUUAUCGACAAACCAGGCAAGCGUCUUCCCAAGGUUGGAGCGUAUGCAGCUGCUGGAGUGGGGCUUGCCAAGGCAGAGUACAGUGUGUUUGAGGCUGAAGCCAAGGGGCCAAAUGCCUCUGCUGGGGCUUCAGUCUCUCUGGCAGGAGUUUCAGCAAUGGCCAGUGCAGAGAUCGCAAGUGCCUCCGCUUCUGCUGGUCCUAUCAAGGCAAAGAUAGGACUGGGUGUUGAUACUGGAGUGAAAGUAGGACUGGGUGGAGUUGAGGUGAGGGUACUGGGAACUGGGAUUAGCAUAGGACAAAAUCCUGCAGUCGCUGUACUUGGAAAUGAGGUGGAAUGCUCUGUUAUGUGACAACCAGAGUCCACCAUUUUCGCAUCAAGGUCUUGUCUUUAACAAGUGCAUGGUAACCACCGUAGAAGCUUAAAGUGUGUCCUUCAGCUGUUGUUUACUGUUGGAGUUGCUCCAACAAUAAAAGAUUGUAAAACCGUUGUCAAAAUGUAACAUUAAGUACAAUCAUUAAACAUUUCUUACAAACA